This 839-nucleotide ribosomal RNA is filed under the name Escherichia coli. RNAcentral's name for it is "partial 23S ribosomal RNA". It matches the Rfam family "Bacterial large subunit ribosomal RNA", at positions 372 to 1215 of the family's 2925-position model. Lineage: Bacteria; Pseudomonadati; Pseudomonadota; Gammaproteobacteria; Enterobacterales; Enterobacteriaceae. The record is from RNAcentral.
CCCGUACACAAAAAUGCACAUGCUGUGAGCUCGAUGAGUAGGGCGGGACACGUGGUAUCCUGUCUGAAUAUGGGGGGACCAUCCUCCAAGGCUAAAUACUCCUGACUGACCGAUAGUGAACCAGUACCGUGAGGGAAAGGCGAAAAGAACCCCGGCGAGGGGAGUGAAAAAGAACCUGAAACCGUGUACGUACAAGCAGUGGGAGCACGCUUAGGCGUGUGACUGCGUACCUUUUGUAUAAUGGGUCAGCGACUUAUAUUCUGUAGCAAGGUUAACCGAAUAGGGGAGCCGAAGGGAAACCGAGUCUUAACUGGGCGUUAAGUUGCAGGGUAUAGACCCGAAACCCGGUGAUCUAGCCAUGGGCAGGUUGAAGGUUGGGUAACACUAACUGGAGGACCGAACCGACUAAUGUUGAAAAAUUAGCGGAUGACUUGUGGCUGGGGGUGAAAGGCCAAUCAAACCGGGAGAUAGCUGGUUCUCCCCGAAAGCUAUUUAGGUAGCGCCUCGUGAAUUCAUCUCCGGGGGUAGAGCACUGUUUCGGCAAGGGGGUCAUCCCGACUUACCAACCCGAUGCAAACUGCGAAUACCGGAGAAUGUUAUCACGGGAGACACACGGCGGGUGCUAACGUCCGUCGUGAAGAGGGAAACAACCCAGACCGCCAGCUAAGGUCCCAAAGUCAUGGUUAAGUGGGAAACGAUGUGGGAAGGCCCAGACAGCCAGGAUGUUGGCUUAGAAGCAGCCAUCAUUUAAAGAAAGCGUAAUAGCUCACUGGUCGAGUCGGCCUGCGCGGAAGAUGUAACGGGGCUAAACCAUGCACCGAAGCUGCGGCAGCGACGCU